AGGAUGAACGCUAGCGGCAGGCUUAAUACAUGCAAGUCGAGGGGCAGCACAGGUAGCAAUACUGGGUGGCGACCGGCAAACGGGUGCGGAACACGUACGCAACCUUCCUUUAAGUGGGGGAUAGCCCAGGGAAACUUGGAUUAAUACCCCUUAACAUUAUGAGAUGGCAUCAUUUUAUAAUUAAAGCUCCGGCGCUUAAAGAUGGGCGUGCGCCUGAUUAGGUAGUUGGCGGGGUAACAGCCCACCAAGCCUACGAUCAGUAACUGGUGUGAGAGCACGACAGUCACGCGGGCACUGAGACACGGGCCCGACUCCUACGGGAGCAGCA
Molecule: ribosomal RNA, 328 nt
Filed under: uncultured soil bacterium
Lineage: Bacteria
Description: bacterial SSU rRNA
Rfam family: Bacterial small subunit ribosomal RNA
Source: RNAcentral